This 6443-nucleotide long non-coding RNA is filed under the name Triticum aestivum (bread wheat). Its description in RNAcentral is "long non-coding RNA (TAES_LNC021787)". Lineage: Eukaryota; Viridiplantae; Streptophyta; Magnoliopsida; Poales; Poaceae. The record is from RNAcentral.
UAGACAUCCCUUCGUGCGCGCUAGCGCUCCCUUUUGGGAAUACGAGUGACAUAGAUCAUGUUCACUGUUUUCACCUCCGAGGGAAAAUGCUUUUGGCCCCCGGUGUUUGGCUGACGGGGCUCGUCAUCGUCCUCACUUGGAGGUACCUUUCCCUUGUGUUCGGUAUUUAUCUUACCGGCCUAUUUGAAAACCCAACAGUUGAUGUUGGUGUGGUUAGCAGGCUUAUCGUGUGUACCAUGAAUCUGACAUGGCCUCUCAAGGAGUUUAUCCAAGCUAGAUGGACCAUCCCUGUUGCCUUUGAAAGGUUUCUUCCGCUGACCGGAUUUAGAAUCACUAAAUCCAGCAUUGACUGUCGUAUCAUCUACGUCAUCAUUGUUGCUCCGACAUUUGUUUUUAUUGCGGCGUGGUUUACAAUUGCCAUCCCUGGCCUCAGAAGUGCCGGGAUCGCCCCAACUUUUGCUUCUAUGAUCCAACCAGCUAUCCUCACCUGCGCAAAAACGGGUCAUAAGUGCAGUUAAGGCUGUCAUGGUCUUCGGCUUCUCCUGCCCGAGGUGUCAGGCGAGCCAUUCGUCCCGGACGCUGUGUUUGAAGGCCGCUAAGGCUUCAUCGUCCAUACAAUCCAUGAUUUGGUUAUUUUUAAUUAGGAACUUAUUUCGAAGCUUGCGAGCCGAUUCGCCUGGUUGCUGGAUUAUGUGACUCAAGUCGUCCACAUCUGGUGGUCGAACAUAAGUGCCCUGAAAGUUGGCCCGAAAAGCAUCUUCCAAAUCUUCCCAGGUUCCGAUGGAGUUCGCUGGGAGGCUAUUCAGCUAGUGCCGUGCUGGUCCUUUCAGCUUUAGACGAAGAUAUUUAAUGGCAUGGAGGUCAUCUCCACGAGCCAUAUGAAUGUGGAGAAGAAAAUCUUCAAUCUAGACGGUCGGAUCCGUCGUUCCAUCAUACUGCUCGAUGUUCACGGGUUUAAACCCUUCCAGAAACUGGUGUUGCAUUACCUCAUCGGUAAAGCACAUGGUGUGUGCGGCACCCCUCUAUCGUGCGACAUCAUGGCAGAGAUGGGAUGACAUCUGAGUUCGGUUCUAAUCCCUAAUAUUGUAAUGUUCAUCACGCCGGACUUCAUAGCCGUUAUCUCAUGCCAGGGCACGACCUCUUGAUCCGUAGAUCAAUCUGGUCUGACCGGCUUUGUUGGCCAGGUCCCGUUGCAAGUCAUAUGUGUAACCCGCAGCUACUGUCUCCUUGCCUCCUCGGCAAGGGGGUGCGGGCUGGUGUUCGGCUUGAUACGCCACUUUAUCCCGUCCACGUGGUGGUCGGUCUGGUUGGUCUGCCUAAUUAUAUUUCGACGAUAUUGGCUCAAGGGCUCCGUCGUGGAAUUGUGGCAGCAGCUUGCGCUUGGGGUAACUUUUGGUAGGUCUCUCGUGGUCGUAUUCCUCAACGGCCAGGACCUUGGUCCACCUUUCAUUGAGUGUAUCAAGUUCAACUUUGAGCUGCUGUUGUUUCUUUUUCAGGCUCCGUGUUGUGGCGAUGAGCUGUCGCUUGAACCAUUCUAGCUCGAGGGGUUCCUCUGGGACAAUAAAAUCUCCGUCACCGAGGCCAACAUCCUCUUCGGAGACUGGCAUAUAAUUGAUGUCUUUCGAAUCUUUGUGAUCAGCGUGUUCGGGGCUAUACUAACCCUCCUCCCUCUCAUCAUGUUCGGAUGUGGGCUCGAUGGGGUGUUCGGGAUCUUCGGCACUAUCCAGGGUCUCAUUAUCUCCGGUGCCGGUAUUACUAUCAUUCGCCCGACCCGAUCGUGAGCGGCACUGCUGACGUAUGUGCUUUGGUGGUUUAUCGACGAGCUUGUCCUCAUCGGGAUUCUGAUUAUCCUCGUCGUCCUUUUUAUCAGGAGUGUCCAUCAUGUAUACGUCAUAUGUUGAAGUGGUCGUCCCGCGCCCUGCGGUGGGUGGGACUUGGCCUGAUUCAGCGUCAGCAUCGUCGUCCAUACCGUCGAUGUCUUCGGACGCGUUGUCCAUCAUGUAGGUUAGAUCCUCGACAGUGGCUAUUAAGUGGGUGGUGGGCGGGUCAUAAAAAUCCCCGCUCCUAGCCCCCAGCCCAUGCUGGGUGCAAUGUGGAGGCAAAGCUUCCGUAAUGGUGAGAGAUCGCAUCAAAACCCAGUGCUUCGUCUAAGGGCGAAAGGUGGGUGAGAGUUUGCGGAUCUGUAGUGCUAGGUUCGGCUACAGACACCUGAUCGGGCCGGAUCGACGCAGACCUUGAUAGUUCGGAGUUGUCGUCCAUAGGCGAGUCCAAAACCGCAUCUAGGCCUCCGGUCGGAAGUUCCAUGGUAAAAGAGUGUCCGGCGGGAGUGAUCCCCCCGUCUUCGGAUGAAACUACCCGCUCCGGAUCUACAGCCGAGGCAAGUGUGAGUGUUGACGCCUGGACGGGAUCUAAGAGCGGAUCCGAAGAGCUUCCUUCAUGGGGGCAAGGGGCGGCAACCGGGGCCGCGAACCCCUCGAAGACCAGAUCUCCUCGGAUAUCGGCGAUGUAAUUCAGGUUUCCAAACCUGAUCUGGUGGCCGGGGGCAUAACUGAAGACCUGCUCGAGGCAGCCGAUCGAGUUGGCACGAAUCAUGAAGCAGCCGAACACAAAGACUUGUCCGGGAAGAAAGGUUUCCCUGGAUGUAGCAUCAUCGUUGAUGAAGAGGUGAGCAUCAAUCCUUCUGUCGACGAUACAGCGGAACUCUCAAUGAAGGCACCAAUGUCGGUGUCAAAACCAGCGGAUCUCGGGUAGGGGGGCCCAAGUUUUAUGUCUGGGGAUCGAUGGUAACAAUGAUCAAAAGGACACAGUGUUUUCCCAGGUUCGGGCCCUCAUAAUGAAGGUAAAACCCUACUCCUUCUUGAUUAUAUUCGAUGAGUAUAGGGGUUACAAGAGUUGAUCUACGAUGAGUAUAGGGAUUACAAGAGUUGAUCUACGAUGAGUAUAGGGAUUACAAGAGUUGAUCUACCUCGAGAUCGUAAUUGCUAAACCCUAACUUGGCUAGCCUAUCAAUGUUAUGAUCCUGCUUUCGAUCUAACCCUCUGGUGUAUAUAGAUACCAUAGGGGCUUAGGGUUGUACAAAGUCGGCUUAACAGAAAGGAAAUAGCAUAUCCGGACACCUAAACUUACCAUUCACGUAUACAUGAGUCCCUACCGAACACGAGAGGUGGUCUUCUGCCUUGUAUCUUGACGGCCCAUCAGUCCGGCCCAUAUCCAAUAUACCGGACGCCCGAGGUCCCCUUAGUCCCGGACUCCCUCAACCGUGCCCGUGGGAAGGAGCUACGCAAGGUUCGCGACGCUCGACAUGACCUUGUUCAUGGUAGGCGUCGGCACUGCCGUGCCGGCAGCUCCUAUCUCACUGUCGUCGUUGUUUAUUGGUGGAAUUAUCUGGUUCGCCGUGGAUGAUGACCCAGAAGAAGGAGAAGAAGCUGCCAUUGUAAGUACAUACUGUGCUUGAUUAGGGGGUGCUCGCGUCAUAAGGAAUGUUCAACUUGCAGUUAUAUAGGCAAAUUAAUUCGAUGCCGACGAUUCCGAAGUCCAGUGUCCAAGCUAGGUACACAUGCAUGUAUACCUUGGAUUGAAUCAAUAGUGCACACUGGCUAAAUAAACUAGGUGAUUUCUCCGCGCGUUGCUGCAGGAUUUUAAAGAUUAGUUUUGAAUAAAUUUUGUAUGAACCAAAUGUUCUAAAUCAAUAGCUAUUAUAUUCGGAAGUAAUUGUGUUAACAAAGAGUAUUCAUUUACGCUGGACCACUGGAGAUGGAACAAUUAAAUUGGAGUAUGCAUGUUCUACAAAAUAGUUGUAGUGGAUGAUAAUGUGGCACGUUAGUGACGUGGAGGGCUGCAUGUUGCCAGAAUUAUAGUUAGUGGGGAUCAACUAUUUAGAUAUUAUAGAUUAAUAUACAGUGUCUGCUAAUUGAACACUAGCAUAUGCUAAUAACGUAUUUUAAGGGUGGCAGUAUUUUUUUCAUUGGUUUGAACUCUAUUUUUUGGUACGGAUGAUUGGUUUGAACUCUCUAACUAGGUGUGUUUAAAAGUUGGUGUAAAUUGUAAAUAAUUAUAACCGUGACUAAUUAAGCUAGCACGUUCAUUUCAUUGAUACUACAUACAUAUAUGCUAUUCAAGUCUUAUUUCGGAAAGGUGAGGAAAGAGAACUACAUAAGCAUCGAUCGGCUUGUGUAUAAUUGUGUAUAAGUAUGCACUCCCUCAAUCCUAAAGUGUAAGACAUAUUUUGACAAUACAUUAUGGGACGGAGUGAGUAAUUUUUAACUCACUUGAAUUUCCCAGAGGUCUCUCCUGGCUGGUUGAUUUCCGUGGGCAUUUCUGAAAGUGAUAAAGCUGAACCUUGCACGCAAGCAUGACAAUAGUUACUUGUGUGCUUGCAUGAAAAAGAAAUGGGAGCCACUUGGGAAGGACAACGGUUUUUUUCUACCACGACCACUAUAAAGUGCACGUUGACCAAGCGUUGAGAUUCGUGCGUUCAGAAUAUUUUCAUAUAUUUCGAAGCAUUAAGAUACACCUUGAGACACGCACACAAAAUCUCAUAAAGCUUAGUAAAAACCUGACAAGUGCACUCCCUUUUACUGGUACACAAUGAAACAUUAUAGUGUACGUGGGAUGUAUCUACGUUUAGAUACAUCCGUUUGAGCGUCAAAUAAUAUGAGGUCUAGAACCAUCUGUUUGAGCGUCAAAUAAUAUGGGUUGGAGGGAGUAUCUAGAUACAUCCGUUUGAGCGUCAAACAAUAUGGGACGGAGGGAGUAACAAACUUCGAAACAAAAAGAUAACCCAAUGAAAUAUUAUGUAAUGCUAUGAAAUAAGAUAAACUUCGACCAAAUUAGGAAUGUUGGGACGACUCUCCAAGUUACGCUACCCUUCUGGGUGGCUAUCUAAGCCCCUAUGGGAAUAACGGGAUGCUAUGUAGUGGCAAGAGUCAACAAGCACAGAAGGCUGCCGCGUGCAGAAUCCGGAGCGGCCAAGCUACGGUUGACGUCUUGACGAAGAGAUGAAGCGAUCAGAUAUUCAGAUUGAUGAAGAGACAAAGCGGCAUUGCCUGGCGAUGCUUCACCUAGGGCUACCAAUCAGUGAAGGCAAUUGGGACUGGCCAAUCUCGUUUAUUUUCUCCUGUAAUUUUUUUCCAUACCUAUGUUUUCCUUGGCUAUACUGUACGUGCAUACCAGAUUUUGGUACCCCAUGCCUGGGCCCUGAGCCAUCGCCACUCUGGCCAUAAACCAGAGCUGGCCCUAUCUGGAUUUUAUAAAUUAAUUUCUCAUACAUUUUUAUUUUUAUAUUUUUCUUUCAGAGUAAGAUUUUUAUCAUAGCUUAAACAGAACUAGUUAAGUUUUCAAAAGUGUAAAAGUUUCCAAAAGUCCUGAAAAAAAUACAACUUUAUGUGCCCUGGAAAAAAAAAGUACUUUAGUAUAUAUCACUACCAGAAUAAACCCCUAUGCCUACGGCUCAGGCCGUAGGCAUAGCCCUGAUUCCCGUCGGGAUAGGCCUAUGCCGACGGCCCCCGUAGGCAUAGGGCCGUCGGCAUAAUAUACGUCGGCGUAUCUCGGGAUGCCGUCGGCAUAGAAAAGCCGUCGGCAUAGAUGAUUUGCCGACGGUGUCCGUACAUCUAUGCCGACGGCCAGGGCCGUCGGCAACAUUCCACGCUAACGGUGGCCGCCGUCAAGUGCUGCCCCUAGAGGAGACGCCACGUGGCAGAGCUAUGCCUACGGUGUAGCCGUCGGCAUAGAUUUGAAACUAUGCCUACGGCUAGGCCGUAGGCAUAUCCCUGCCACGUGGCGGUGUCUACUAGCUCAGUGGGCACGGCUAUGCCUACAGCAUGGCUGUCGGCAUAUAUCUAAAGCUAUGCCUACGACUCUUCCGUAGGCAUAUGUUCCAGGCUAUGCCGACAGCCAAACUGUAGGCAUAGUUUAGAUAUAUGCCGACGGCCUAACUGUAGGCAUAGCCUCCACGUGUCGUCCCCUGGUAGCACAUGGUAACCCUAUGCCUAUGGCUAAGCCGUAGGCAUAGUUUGCGUCUAAUUUUUUUUCCUUUUUUCUGUUUGCUUUCAAUUCAAAUUCACAGCAUAUAUAUAUGAUGAAAUAGACAUACAGAACAUAUAUAAGUAUCAUCCUCACAACAAACACCAUCACAACAAUAUAAGUAUCAUGACAAACAUAACCAUCAUCGCAAACAUAAGCAUCUAAAGAAGCACACAAGUCAUCUAAAAGAUCACAAGUCAUCUAAAAGACCACCACCACCAAAAGACCACCACCACAAGUCAUCUAAAAGACCAUCACCACAAGUCAUCUAAAAGACCACCACCACAAGUUUAUGAUCACCACCACUGUCACCCAAAGGCUUAAGCGCUAGGACAUCCGCCACCACCGCCAAGGUCAUCACCGCCAAGUCCGCUGAAGCCUAGGUCAUCCCUGCUAGCGGCAGCGCUACCGCCAAGACCACC